Molecule: ribosomal RNA, 268 nt
Filed under: uncultured bacterium
Lineage: Bacteria
Description: partial 16S ribosomal RNA
Source: RNAcentral
CUGCUGCCUCCCGUAGGAGUUUGGUCCGUGUCUCAGUACCAAUGUGGGGGGGUUGACCUCUCAGUCCCCCUAUGUAUCGUCGCCUUGGUGAGCCGUUACCUCACCAACUAGCUAAUACAACGCAUGUCCAUCUCUGACCACCUGAGUUUUCAACCACCGAAGAUGCCUCCGGUGAUGUUAUGGGGUAUUAGUACCAAUUUCUCGAUGUUAUCCCCCUGUCAAAGGUAGGUUACAUACGCGUUACGCACCCGUCCGCCGGUCGCCGGCA